CUCCACAGGGUAUGAGGCUGGGGUUGAGACCCCCUCCAAGGUGCAAAAAGUACCUAGAACCUGCGGAGCAACUGGACUGGCGACGAGGAAAGCUGGAAUCCCGCAUGGAUGAACAGGAAGCGGGGCUGGUCUGGCAGCGCCGCGUCCUCUCUCCGGGCCGCUGAUUCUGGAAUCUCCAGCGCGGGGCCAAGGGCCCACGCUCCUGGAGAAGGCGGUGAGUGCGUCCUCAGGGAGCGGACAGAGCCGGAGCAGGAAAGGUCAUGGCCAUCAGAAGCCGGGCAAGAGCGGCUGAGCCUUCUGUGCGCUUGGCUCGUGGGAUUCUUUCCCCCUUGGCCAGGGACACGUCAAAGACUCUCCGCGCACCGCGAUCUUCCUGUCCCGCGAGUCCCCGACGCCCGAGUCCGUUCUGCGCCUACACAGACGGAACCCGGGGGCUCAGGCAGACCCUAAGUCUUGCCCAAAGCUUCGCAGUCGGGCAGCAGUGGAGCCAGGAUUUGGAAGUAAGAGGACCUGCGGUGCUUCCCUGCAGUCUCCUGCGCUGCGUCCCACGCCCCGACAACACGCACGCAAC
This 571-nucleotide long non-coding RNA is filed under the name Homo sapiens (human). Its description in RNAcentral is "HSALNT0155023". The record is from RNAcentral. Lineage: Eukaryota; Metazoa; Chordata; Mammalia; Primates; Hominidae.